UACGGGGGGAGCAAGCGUUGUUCGGAUUUACUGGGCGUAAAGGGCGCGUAGGCGGCGCGACAAGUCACUUGUGAAAUCUCCGGGCUUAACCCGGAGCGGCCAAGUGAUACUGUCGUGCUAGAGUGCGGAAGGGGCUACUGGAAUUCUCGGUGUAGCGGUGAAACGCGUAGAUAUCGAGAGGAACACCUGCGGCGAAGGCGGGUAGCUGGGCCGACACUGACGCUGAGGCGCGAAAGCCAGGGGAGCGAACGGG
Molecule: ribosomal RNA, 253 nt
Filed under: uncultured bacterium
Lineage: Bacteria
Description: partial 16S ribosomal RNA
Rfam family: Bacterial small subunit ribosomal RNA
Source: RNAcentral